CAAUAGCGUAUAUUUAAGUUGUUGCAGUUAAAAGCUCGUAGUUGGAUUUCGGUUGAGAACGGCCGGUCCGCCGUUUGGUGUGCACUGGCUGGUCUCAACUUCCUGUAGAGGACGCGCUCUGGGUUAACGCUCGGACGCGGAGUCUACGUGGUUACUUUGAAAAAUUAGAGUGUUUAAAGCAGGCUUAAGCCGUUGAAUACAUUAGCAUGGAAUAAUAAGAUAAGACUUGGGUCAUUAUUUUGUUGGUUUGCGGAUCGAGGUAAUGAUUAAUAGGGAUAGUUGGGGGUAUUCAUAUUUAAUUGUCAGAGGUGAAAUUCUUGGAUUUAUGAAAGAUGAACUUAGGCGAAAGCAUUUACCAAGGAUGUUUUCAUUAAUCAAGAACGAAAGUUAGGGGAUCGAAGACGAUUAGAUACCA
This 415-nucleotide ribosomal RNA is filed under the name uncultured eukaryote. RNAcentral describes it as "bacterial SSU rRNA". It matches the Rfam family "Eukaryotic small subunit ribosomal RNA", at positions 592 to 1017 of the family's 1831-position model. The record is from RNAcentral.